UUGUUACAGCUAGAGUUAAAUUUUAUUAAUGAACUGUUAGCAAUAGCUGUUAUCUAUGUGAAAUUACUAUUUACCGUUUUAAACAUACCCUUCUACCAUCACCGACUUUUCUUAUUUGCCCUUAAAUUAGGGGUACAAAAUAUAUUCUUAUUUUUGGUAUUUUCAAAUACAACCUUCUACCAUCAUCAACAUUUCUUAUUUGCCCUCAACUUAAGAACAAAAAAGGUAUUUUGAUUUUUUAACUCUAGUAGAUAUUUAACUCAUAUUUAACCUGAGUUAAUUUAAUGGAUGGUAAAUGCAGGGGUAUUUUGGAAUAACGGAGGAACAUAUGAGUGGUAUAUUCGAAAGAAAAAAAAAAGUAGGGGUAAAUGAGAUAUUUGCGAAGUUUUGAGUGGUAUAUAUGCAAUUAUCCCUUAUAUAUAAUGCUUAAGAGGGUUAGAGGCUGGAGAGAGUAUGGCUGUGAGAGAGUGCCUUCUUUGACGAAGCCGUAUCGAGAGAGAAAGUCAUGAUUGCAUGCACAUAGUGGAUGGGUGCAUCCAACGAGAGAAGUCUUAUUUUAGGUUUAUAGAAGACGAGGGCAGGGUAGGAGAGAUUCAGAAAAAGGACUCGGAUUGCAGCUACUCUAUGCAGAAAAGAAGUAAGGUGUAAUAUUCUCUUAUUUAAUAAAAGGGCAAAAUAGUAAUUUUAUAUAGAUAACAGCUAUUGCUAACAGAAUUUAACUUUAGGGCUAUAUUGAAAUAGGUUGGAACGUAAAAAGAGUAGUCAAAAAUUUUUUAGGAAUAUAUAAGCAAUUGCCCCUAUAUAUAAUUCUCUACUGAAACGUAACUCAAUCCUAGUAUAAUUAGGAUUUCUACUCCAAUAAAUAUUUAAAUCUUAAUUGAUUUAUCUCCAAUAUAUUUAAAUAUUUAUCCUAAUCUUGUUAGAUUUACACUGUAAUUAAUAUUUAAACCUUAAUUUAUGCUUAGGGGUGUAAUGUGGGCCAUGCUGGGCCGGACGACCCACUUUCACCCUGUCCAAACCGGGCCAAAGGUCAGCCCAGCUCGGUCCGGAAAAAUUUCGGGCCGUGCCGUGCCGGGCCAAACUUCAUGGAUGCCCGGCCCAGCACAGCCCUCGGACCCAGAUGGCAAUAGGCCGUGCUGGGCUGGGCCGGACUCCGUGCCAGCCCUUAAUUUUUUAAAUUUAUUAAAAAUAUUUAAAUUUUUUUAAAAAAUAAAACAAUUUUUUUCGCCUAAUUUGUUAGAUAAAAAAAAUUUAGAUUAUUUAUAAAGUAACAAAAUUUAAAAUUAUUUUAAAUUUUAUAAAAGUUUUGACAUUUUUUUAAAAUUUUUUUUCCAAAAGAUGGGCCCACCUCCCAAUAAGGGCCUAAGGCCUAGGGCUCUAGGUCUUUUUUUUUUCUCUACCUUGAGAGUUGGGGAGCCAGGUUGGCUCCCUAUUCCUAAGGUCCCUAGCUACUAAAGGCCCACAAGGCCAGGCCAGGCCGUGCCAUGCCGGGCCACGGGCCAAGCUCCUGGCCUCACACCGCCCAGGCCCAUAACGGGCCAUGUCGUGUCGGGCUUACGGGCCUUGGGGGACCGGCCCAACACAACCUGGAGAGCCAAGCCAGCUCGUCACAGCACAGAUGCUACAGUAGCCGUGUUGGGCCACGGGCGGCACGUGGGCCACCCGGCCCAUUUUACACCCCUAUACAUGCUUCGAUCAUGCGUGGGCCUUGUGGGGCCUAAUAUAUGUAGGCCUCUCUCACAUUCUCUUUUACUCUUUCACUCUUUCUGGAAGGAAAAAGUCUAAAAUGUGCCAGUCAUAUUGUUGACGUGAUAUAUUCGGCCAAUCAAAAUGAAUCCGUGGGAUUUACCUACCCAUCAUGAUUUUUAGAAAUAUAGUGUGACUGCCAUGCAGUAGACUUCCUACUUAAGAGGAUAAAGAAGUGGGAGGAGAGUGGAAGAAAGUAUUGUUUGCAUCUGGUGGUGUAGCAUUUCUAUAUGCCAUUCUAAGGUUUAUUUUCCUAAGUUAGUCCUUUCAAAAAUAAAAUUUGGUAUCUAGUUUCAUUGGAGUUUUAUUUGGAUAACUAACCUUCUAAUUCCUGACAUCAAUGCCACGUCAGCAUUAUUUUAAAAAAUGGGUAAGAGUAUGUGCAACUAAUCUGAAAUUUAAGUCAUUUGGUAAUAACUAUCUAAUCUUAAAAAAAAAUUGAUUUUUCUAUCUAACCUUUCAUUUUAUUUGAUUUUGGUUGUUUAUUAGUGUUGGAAAACUAUUGUGUGCACCUGGUGCAUUUAUAUAUUCACACACCACACAUUUUUUCAAUAUUUAUUUUAUCUGAUUGUUCAAUCUCUAUCAUUCAAUGAGUUGGAGUUUUUAAUAGUUUAGAAUUAAGUAAUUGAACCGACUGUCCCUAGAGCAAGUGGCAAAGGGCUUGGUGGUUGGUACCCGAGACACAAGUUCGAAUCCUAGUUGAUUCACAUUUUUAGCUAAGUUUAUUUCUAAAUAAAAUAAACAAAGCGGAUAGUGUGCUACCUACUUUCAAAAAAAAAAAAAAAACAAAAAAGAAUUAAGCGAUUGAAUGGAUAGUAGGAGAUGCAUUUUUAAAAAAAUUAGAUAUGGUGUGCAAAUAUCUGGGUGCACUAGAUACGCAAAAGUACUUACGAAUCAAACUAUUUGAAAGGUGAGGGAGUUAAAUCAAAAUUUUUAAAAAUUGUAUAGCCAUUUUCAAAUGUUCCAUAGUUUAUGUAAGCUUAAUACAAUUUCACCUUAAAAUGUACAAAGAUAGUAAAUCGUUUCAUGUGGUGAACAAUUAACCAUUUCCUACUUAAAUUUGGUUUCCUCCCAAGUUGAGUUUUUGAUACAUAUACUAAAAAAGAAAAUCAUUCUUUCGCCCUUUGUCCAUACAUAGUCACAAAUCUUAAUAUACUUACCCUUUUGAUACAAAUAUAACCCAUCCGAAACUUCGAACUGAUAAUUACAUGUCUUUAAAUAUCAUAUUUGUUAUUUUCUUGAUAUAGCUCGCUCGAUUGACAAUAUUUUAAAUUACAUAUUAUCAAGAAUCUAAAUAUGACAAAAAUUAAUUUAAUCAUUGAAAACUUCAAGAGAAAAAUUUUACAUCUUUAAGUUCUUUAUAUAUUUAAUGAGAAAACGGUAAAUUAUUUAUCACAUUUAAGAAAAUAAUAAAUGAUUCACCGUUUUUCAUGGAGCUUAACAUGAAAUGAUAGACGGUUAGUUUUCCAAAUAAAUUUUAGAUGGUUUCAUAUCAAAAUUUUCUCUACGGGUUAAAAAAAAAAAAAAAAAAAAAAAAACAUUACCCUACGGGUUAAUUGGACCUAUAUUUUUAUUUCACUAUUUAGUGGGCUUAAUUUGGGGUUUGAUUCAGCUCAACUGGUUUGUUGGUUACUGUAUUUGCUAAACCAAGCUACAGUUUUGAAAAAUUGCAGGACCAAACUGUAAAUAAGCUGUAACUCUUUGUUAUAACUUUGAUUUUGGCAUGUAAAAUAAUUUUUUCUUAUCCAAAAAAAAAUGUCUUUGAGAUAAAUAUUAUUUUAGGAAUAUUUAAUACCGAAUCACAAUGUAAUAUCUUGAAAAAAAAAUUCAAAUUAUAAGUAUACAGGUAAAUUUUAGCUUAAGUUCUACAUUAGAUUUCUAUAAAAAAAAAAAAAAAGAAAGAUGAUUUUAUUUAAAAGGAAAUGUGUAAUCUUAAAACGGUUGCGUACGUACGUAUACUUUAAAAAAACAAGACUAACUAAUUGUAUCAUUUCAUGAUAGUUUAAUCGUUAGUCCUUAUUACUUUAGAACUAUUGAAGCCUUCCUUUAAAUACUGUUAUAUCUCGUUGAAGCCUUACUUUAAAUACCGGUAUAUCUCUUUCAUCAGUAAUAAUAACUCGUUGAGUCAAAAUCACUAGCCCAAAAUACUUAAAUUCAGUUAUUAUAUUUAGCCCAAUCAAACUCAUAUAAUUCCAUAUUUAGUCAUAACUAUCCGAUGUGAGACUAUUAGGGUGUCAUGUACCCCCCCAUCUUAAAUUUGACCCCUCAACUAUUUUUUUUUUAAUUUUUCAUUUUUGGUAUUCACUGCAACCAUUUUUACUAUGGUCUUCAAUUAUAUAUUUUAUACCUGAUAUGAAACUUCAUCAUAACUUAACUGCUACAUUGAAUUGGUAAUCCAACUAAUAUAUUGUCUUGUUAGAUAAGAAGGUACUAUCUAGGCCCCUUAAAUUCGAUAGAAUCUACUAUUAAUUAGCAGUCUAAGCUUUAAAUAAGAUCAAGUUAAAAUGAUUAAUUAAAAGUUAUAGAAAUUGUUGAUCAUCGAAAUUAAACUAAGUUUAAGGGAUCUAUUUAAAUGGGCCUAUAGUUGUACGUGGAGAUCUCCGUACAUUUUUUUUUUAAAGUAUCGUUUAUUCAAACAAUGCUUUAAUAAUAUUGGUCCAAAAAAAAAAUUUUGUUACAAUACAAUUAUUUUAUAUACAUAAUAAUAAUAUGUAAUUAUUGGCUUACGAGUCACUCCAGGAGAAUCCUAUUGAAGUUGAAGGUCAAUAUAUUGAUAUAAUAUAGGAUAAGAUAAAUUAAUGUAGUAAAUAAUAUAUAAUAUAUAAUAAUAUAUAAUAUAACAUAAGCUUGUGUGUCUUAAUUUGAUUUGGUUUGGACAGUGGAGGUGGAAUGGUUGGGAAUCCUUUUCUUGCAAAGGGAGCCCAUAAAAGAAAGACUCUUUCUUGAGAUUAUUUAUUAGGUUAUUUUAAUAUAUGGGUUAAGAAUAUACCUAAAAACAUGACGUUGCAUUAAUAUUUUACGCUAAAAUAUUUGUAAAGGCCACUAGGGAUCACAAGUAAUUUGGCUAACCUAUAUAGUUCAGUAGAUUGAUGCAUUUUGAUAUGCAUAUUCAUUUUAUACCAUGCAUAUAGUAUUGUAAAAGGCAUUAUUGUUUUAUACAUGCAACAACAAUAGUUAUUAUAUAUUUAUAUUACAAUGAUAAUAUCAGAUAGUUGUACGUCACUACAUGUAGAAAUUAUUGCAUGCACGCAAUGCACCAUGUCAUCACGUACACCGCACGCACUACAACAUGGUGCAAUGCAUGAGGUGGUGACAUGGUGCGUCUUGUGCGUGGAAUAGUUUUUCAAUGUUGUUGCAUAAAAGGUUGUUUGAUCAUAGAAAACUAGUUAAGGGGCGGCGCACGAUGCGACGAGAAGAUAAUAUAAUAAUAAAUUAUUAUAAUUAUUAAUAUUAUUUUUUUAUUAUUUAUUAAUAUUUUUAAAUAUUAUUUAUCUCAGGAUUGAAUAAUUAAAAAGUAAACAAUAAAUUAAAGAAUAAAAUUAAAGUAUAUUUUUUUAAAAAAAUAUUUAAAUCUAAUAAGUAAAAUUAAUGAUAAUUUUCUAUUAUCCUCAAGGUAGAAUUAAAAAAAAUUAAAAAAAAAAAUAAGUAAAGUGAAAGUACUAUCUUUAGUAUUCUUGGCGGCAAUAUUUUUAUUGUGCCAUCAUUAACUUUUAUCGUUAUACAUACAACUAAGAAAAUAUUUGAUUUCUGAAUUUUAAAUUUAUGAAGAAAUUAGUAGAUAAUUAUCAGAAGUACAAAAAAUAAUACUAAUAAAAAAGCAUUCGAAAUUAAAAUGGAUAUUUUUUACACUAUACAAAAAUUCAACUACCAAAUAUUAUAUUAUUAUAUAAAUUAAUUCUUAAAAAAUUGUUUGUAAACUAAAGUAAAAAACAUGCAAAGUUUAGAAAUUAGGGACCAAAAAAAUAAGAGCAAAAAAUUGGGGCCCAAUAUGCAAUUAACUCUUAAAAAAUUGAUGUGGGUCUUACAAUCCCCCAAAAUAAGUAGGGGUUUUUUUUGA
RNAcentral lists this long non-coding RNA (5803 nucleotides) under Ananas comosus (pineapple). RNAcentral describes it as "long non-coding RNA (ACOM_LNC035193)". The record is from RNAcentral. Lineage: Eukaryota; Viridiplantae; Streptophyta; Magnoliopsida; Poales; Bromeliaceae.